AGCAGCCGCGGUAAUUCCAGCUCCAAUAGCGUAUAUUAAAGUUGUUGCAGUUAAAAAGCUCGUAGUUGAAUUUCGGGGUCAGCAGGUCGGUCGUGCCAAUGGUAUGCACUGGCCUUGCUGAUUCCUCCCUCUUGAUGAGCCGUAAUGCCAUUAAUUUGGUGUUGCGGGGAAUCAGGACUGUUACUUUGAAAAAUUAGAGUGUUUAAAGCAGGCAAGCGCUUGAAUACAUUAACAUGGAAUAAUGAAAUAGGACGUUUGAUCCUAUUUUGUUGGUUUCUAGGAUUGACGUAAUGAUUAAUAGGGAUAGUUGGGGGCAUUAGUAUUCAAUUGUCAGAGGUGAAAUUCUUGGAUUUAUUGAAGACUAACUACUGCGAAAGCAUUUGCCAAGGAUGUUUUCAUUAAUCAAGAACGAAAGUUAGGGGAUCGAAGACGAUCAGAUACCGUCGUAGUCUUAACCAUAAACUAUGCCGACUAGGGAUCGGAUGAUGUUAAUUUUUAAUGACUCAUUC
Molecule: ribosomal RNA, 509 nt
Filed under: uncultured Glomus
Lineage: Eukaryota; Fungi; Glomeromycota; Glomeromycetes; Glomerales; Glomeraceae
Description: SSU rRNA
Rfam family: Eukaryotic small subunit ribosomal RNA
Source: RNAcentral